GACGAACGCUGGCGGCGUGCUUAACACAUGCAAGUCGAACGGUGAAGCGCCUUCCUUUUUGGUGGGUGUGGAUGAGUGGCGAACGGGUGAGUAACACGUGAGUAACCUGCCCCCUUCUUCUGGAUAACCGCAUGAAAGUGUGGCUAAUAUGGGAUAUUCUGGGUCUGUCGCAUGAUGGGUCUGGGAAAGAUAUUGUUUCGGUGGGGGAUGGGCUCGCGGCCUAUCAGCUUGUUGGUGGGGUGAUGGCCUACCAAGGCGGUGACGGGUAGCCGGCCUGAGAGGGUGGACGGUCACACUGGGACUGAGACACGGCCCAGACUCCUACGGGAGGCAGCAGUGGGGAAUAUUGCACAACGGGCGCAAGCCUGAUGCAGCGACGCCGCGUGAGGGAUGGAGGCCUUCGGGUUGUGAACCUCUUUCGCCAGUGAAGCAGGCCUGCCUCGUUUGUGGGUGGGUUGACGGUAGCUGGAUAAGAAGCGCCGGCUAACUACGUG
RNAcentral lists this ribosomal RNA (494 nucleotides) under uncultured bacterium. Its description in RNAcentral is "partial 16S ribosomal RNA". It matches the Rfam family "Bacterial small subunit ribosomal RNA", at positions 28 to 507 of the family's 1533-position model. The record is from RNAcentral.